This is a transfer RNA of Moniliophthora roreri MCA 2997, 82 nucleotides long. It matches the Rfam family "tRNA". From Rfam's summary of the family: Transfer RNA (tRNA) molecules are approximately 80 nucleotides in length. Their secondary structure includes four short double-helical elements and three loops (D, anti-codon, and T loops). The record is from Rfam. Lineage: Eukaryota; Fungi; Basidiomycota; Agaricomycetes; Agaricales; Marasmiaceae.
UCCAAUGUGGUGUAGUGGCUAACAUUGCUGUCUUUCAUUCGGAUGAUCACAGCAGCCCGGGGUUCGAUUCCCCGCAUUGGAA